RNAcentral lists this ribosomal RNA (478 nucleotides) under uncultured bacterium. RNAcentral describes it as "partial 16S ribosomal RNA". It matches the Rfam family "Bacterial small subunit ribosomal RNA", at positions 28 to 507 of the family's 1533-position model. The record is from RNAcentral.
GAUGAACGCUGGCGGCGUGCUUAACACAUGCAAGUCGAACGAGAAGUGAAGACGGAACCCUUCGGGCGGAAGGCUUUAUUUCGAGUGGCGGACGGGUGAGUAACGCGUGGGUAACCUGCCUCAUACAGGGGGAUAACAGUUGGAAACGACUGUUAAUACCGCAUAAGACCACAGCACCGCAUGGUGCGGGGGUAAAAACUCCGGUGGUAUGAGAUGGACCCGCGUUCGAUUAGCCAGUUGGCGGGGUAACGGCCCACCAAAGCGACGAUCGAUAGCCGAUCUGAGAGGAUGACCGGCCACAUUGGGACUGAGACACGGCCCAAACUCCUACGGGAGGCAGCAGUGGGGAAUAUUGCACAAUGGGGGAAACCCUGUUGCAGCGACGCCGCGUGAGUGAAGAAGUAUUUCGGUAUGUAAAGCUCUAUCAGCAGGGAAGAAAAUGACGGUACCUGAGUAAGAAGCCCCGGCUAACUACGUG